Long non-coding RNA from Puntigrus tetrazona (Sumatra barb), 245 nucleotides. RefSeq lists it as uncharacterized. The record is from RefSeq and is a predicted model, not a curated record. The transcript is spliced from 2 exons. NCBI's taxonomy places the organism in Eukaryota, Metazoa, Chordata, Actinopteri, Cypriniformes, Cyprinidae.
UUGCGAUUUUAGGCCCUGUCAUUUCAAUGAUCUUAAGAGCCCGGAGAUAUCUGUGAUCAGCAACCCUUCCACGAAUCACCGUCCUGCAGACAUACCUCCACAAUACAAUGAAAUAUAAAUAAAUAUAAUAAAAAGGGAGCCAGUAAUGUGAUCCGGCAGUGAGCUGCUUUCCAGUUUCCCAAUGAUUGUUAUUUGUAACAAUGUGUAUGUGUAUUUAAGACGCUAAUAAAAAAAAAAUAUCCUGA